AGGUGGCUUGUGACAACUUGGGUUGAGUUUCACUUCGAUAAAACUUGGCUGUUUUCUCGACUUUCGUUUACAGUGUUGGGUAGUAUUUCUAUUGCCAUUUUGGUGGAAGAAGACAAACAAUCAAUGCGUGAAGAGAUCCGGAUGUUGAAAUCUCAACAAGGUCCAUCUGGUAAUCCUCAGCAUACCAGUACAGAAGCUGAGUCGCGGUUUGAAAGCCUUCUCCAAAGAUAUUUACCAUCACAACC
Molecule: long non-coding RNA, 245 nt
Organism: Humulus lupulus (European hop)
Lineage: Eukaryota; Viridiplantae; Streptophyta; Magnoliopsida; Rosales; Cannabaceae
Exons: 3
Source: RefSeq, a predicted model, not a curated record